This 90-nucleotide non-coding RNA is filed under the name Companilactobacillus ginsenosidimutans. Its description in RNAcentral is "Lactobacillus ginsenosidimutans TPP sequence". It matches the Rfam family "TPP riboswitch aptamer (THI element)". Rfam says of the family: Vitamin B(1) in its active form thiamin pyrophosphate (TPP) is an essential coenzyme that is synthesised by coupling of pyrimidine and thiazole moieties in bacteria. The previously detected thiamin-regulatory element, thi box was extended, resulting in a new, highly conserved RNA secondary structure, the THI element, which is widely distributed in eubacteria and also occurs in some archaea. Lineage: Bacteria; Bacillati; Bacillota; Bacilli; Lactobacillales; Lactobacillaceae. The record is from RNAcentral.
AAAAUAUAUCUGGGGUGCCGCAAGGCUGAGAUUAAACCCAUUGAACCUGAUCUAAUUAAUAUUAGUGUAGGAAGAUAUUGGAUAAUUUAG